CGGGGUGAGUAACGCGUGAGCAAUCUGCCUCUACCAAUGGGAUAACACUUAGAAAUAGGUGCUAAUACCGUAUAAGACCGCGAGCCUGCAUGGGCAUGUGGUAAAAGCUCCGACGGGUAGAGAUGAGCUCGCGUCCCAUUAGCUAGUUGGUAGGGUAACGGCCUACCAAGGCGACGAUGGGUAGCCGACCUGAGAGGGUGAUCGGCCACAUUGGAACUGAGAAACGGUCCAAACUCCUACGGAAGGCAGCAG
This 252-nucleotide ribosomal RNA is filed under the name uncultured bacterium. Its description in RNAcentral is "partial 16S ribosomal RNA". It matches the Rfam family "Bacterial small subunit ribosomal RNA", at positions 100 to 354 of the family's 1533-position model. The record is from RNAcentral.